This 67-nucleotide transfer RNA is filed under the name Nanna fasciata. RNAcentral describes it as "tRNA-Pro". RNAcentral also lists the same sequence under 1 other name. The record is from RNAcentral. Lineage: Eukaryota; Metazoa; Arthropoda; Insecta; Diptera; Scathophagidae.
CAAAAGAUAGUUUAAUAUUAAAAUAUUAAUUUUGGAGAUUAAUGAUAAAGAAUUUCUUUUCUUUUGA